AACGAACGCUGGCGGCAGGCCUAACACAUGCAAGUCGAACGCCCGUAGCAAUACGGGAGUGGCAGACGGGUGAGUAACGCGUGGGAACGUGCCCUUCGGUUCGGAAUAACUCAGGGAAACUUGAGCUAAUACCGGAUACGUCCGUAAGGAGAAAGAUUUAUCGCCGAAGGAUCGGCCCGCGUCGGAUUAGCUAGUUGGUGAGGUAACGGCCCACCAAGGCGACGAUCCGUAGCUGGUCUGAGAGGANGAUCAGCCACACUGGGACUGAGACACGGCCCAGACUCCUACGGGAGGCAGCAGUGGGGAAUAUUGGACAAUGGGCGAAAGCCUGAUCCAGCCAUGCCGCGUGAGUGAAGAAGGCCUUAGGGUUGUAAAGCCCUGUCGGGUGGAAAGAACGGGAGGGGUGCAAAUAGCGCUUCUCCGUGACGGUACCACCGAAGGAAGCACCGGCCAAUUCCGUGCCAGCAGCCGCCGCCGUAAC
Molecule: ribosomal RNA, 481 nt
Filed under: uncultured bacterium
Lineage: Bacteria
Description: bacterial SSU rRNA
Rfam family: Bacterial small subunit ribosomal RNA
Source: RNAcentral